UGCUCUGGUUUCUCUUCAUAACGAACAAAUCUUUCGCCUUUUAUUAAAGAUUUCCGUGGAGCGGAGCAAAACAAUAAGAUUCGGUUUUGAGAACCGAGUAAAACCGAAUCCGC
Pseudophryne corroboree (corroboree frog) is the source of this 113-nucleotide small nuclear RNA. RefSeq annotates it as U5 spliceosomal RNA. The transcript has a single exon. The record is from RefSeq and is a predicted model, not a curated record. Lineage: Eukaryota; Metazoa; Chordata; Amphibia; Anura; Myobatrachidae.